CACUUCGCCCCGGCCCGCCCCCCCGAUCUGCGCAUGCCCAGUGACGGGAAAGGCCAGCCUGAGAGUCAGGAACUACAUUUCCCAGCCUGCCUCGGGGUGCUUCCGCCCGUUCCAGCCCAGAGGCCAAGAACGACCCUGCGGCUGCCCAUGACUCCUUUCCGUAAGAGCUGCUUGGCAGGCUGUUUUCUGUGGGCCGACUAGCUCAGCCUGUGAGAGCGUGGUGCUAAUAAUGCCCAAGGACGGCAGACCAGAUAAGCAGCUGCUCCGAAACGGACCCUCCGCCUCCCGUCCGCCAUGCUGCUUCUCUCCUCAAGAAAACACUAGCUGUGGACAGUCCAAAGGGAUCCCCCUGCCUACCUCUGCUCAU
This is a long non-coding RNA of Gopherus evgoodei (Goodes thornscrub tortoise), 367 nucleotides long. RefSeq lists it as uncharacterized. Lineage: Eukaryota; Metazoa; Chordata; Testudines; Testudinidae. The record is from RefSeq and is a predicted model, not a curated record. The transcript has 3 exons.